Molecule: ribosomal RNA, 506 nt
Filed under: uncultured bacterium
Lineage: Bacteria
Description: partial 16S ribosomal RNA
Rfam family: Bacterial small subunit ribosomal RNA
Source: RNAcentral
AGUGAACGCUGGCGGUAGGCCUAACACAUGCAAGUCGAACGGCAGCACAGGAGAGCUUGCUCUCUGGGUGGCGAGUGGCGGACGGGUGAGGAAUACAUCGGAAUCUACUCUGUCGUGGGGGAUAACGUAGGGAAACUUACGCUAAUACCGCAUACGACCUACGGGUGAAAGCAGGGGACCUUCGGGCCUUGCGCGAUUGAAUGAGCCGAUGUCGGAUUAGCUAGUUGGCGGGGUAAAGGCCCACCAAGGCGACGAUCCGUAGCUGGUCUGAGAGGAUGAUCAGCCACACUGGAACUGAGACACGGUCCAGACUCCUACGGAAGGCAGCAGUGGGGAAUAUUGGACAAUGGGCGCAAGCCUGAUCCAGCCAUACCGCGUGUGUGAAGAAGGCCUUCGGGUUGUAAAGCACUUUAGUUGGGGAAGAAAAGUAAUAAGUAAAUAAUUUAUUGCUCUGACGGUACCCAAAGAAUAAGCACCGGCUAACUCUGUGCCAGCCGCCGCCGUAA